Molecule: long non-coding RNA, 2046 nt
Organism: Homo sapiens (human)
Lineage: Eukaryota; Metazoa; Chordata; Mammalia; Primates; Hominidae
Product: long intergenic non-protein coding RNA 2347
Source: Ensembl
AAGGAUGCCUGCAAUAAAAAGUUCCCUUUUUAACCAGACCAGCUGAAACUGAUUAGAGCCAAGAUAGCCAACCAAAUGACUUCAGGAAGACCUCAGGCUUCAUUAUCAUCUCAUUUCCAUGCUAAAAAAACCCAGCUCCCUAGAACAAUGGGAAAUAUUGGGCACUUCAUCAGGCGAGUUCAGGUGCAUUUCUAGAGAUUGUCCAGGUGCUGGUAACAAUAAUAGAGAACCAUCCAUAUCCACAAGAGGCAGAACCUCUUCCAGCAAAAUGGUGCUGCCUCACCCAAAGGUGGCCGAGGAGGCCGUCGGAGGACCACAAAGCUGCAAGUGGCUUUCCUGCGGCCUGCAGGGAACAGGUGGAGGACACUUGGAAGGGCACCCACCCCGGGUCUCACAGGAGUCUGCACCCGCAGGUCACACUGGCAUUAGCCCCUCAUCCUCUGGAGUUCAUCUCAUCCAGGCGAAGACAGCUGGCUGGCCUCAGAGGGUGAGACGCAACUCGAGGGUAAAAACAUUUUUACAGGGCAUGGACACAAAAGUGGCCUUUACCUCUGGAUAAGCUUUUAAAACUUCCCAUUUACAUGUAAAGGUGUACUUUCUAUGUGCCACCAAGAAACCUAAAGUGAGUAAAAGGUGUUUCACUUUAAUCAAGUUCCCCAAUGAGGGGGCACAGCUCUGAAAAGCACUGUCACAACAGGAGAUUCGAGGGUGCAUGCAAAGCAAUGUUUCUAGAAAAUGCCAAAGGAAACAGACACAACUCCAGUGUGGACUCCCGCUUCCCUGCACUGCUGCUCCAUCCUCAGGGCGGAGGCCACAUCGUCCAGCUAGCUGUGAGAACCUCAUCAUGCUCCUUGAUUGUGUGCAGCAGGUGUCUGCUGAAGUCCUCCACACUCUGCCUGUCUCAUCCGCUGAGCAGUGCCUCCUCCCGAUUCAGCACGUCCCUGGUGCCGACUUUCUGCACGUGUUCACUUUGAGGCUGCAUUGUGGGCCUGCAAGAAAUGCAAAGCUGGUUGAGGCUUUAUUCAAUUCAAAUUCAAGCUGUUAAAUCGAGGCUCUCAGACUCCUGCUGCCUGGCCAGUGGAGAAAUUAACUUUCACAUAUGGCUUUGGGAUUUCUCUCUGUCAUCCUGGUCGACGUGUUCUCUCAUUUUUCUGAAGUCUGGGACCUCAACACAGACAUCUGGGUGAAGGCCUUGACAGCAGCGCUGGUGCAAAAUGAAUUGUCACAUCACACCCAACGUUCUCAACCUUUAGAAUCUGAAAGUAAGAAAAACACCUCAAACAUUGAUUCUGAGUAAUCAGCACAGAUUUCUAAAAGAAACUUUAUGGGAUGCUGAGACAUGAAUAAAAACAACUUUAUUCCUUUGGAAAGGACAACCCACAUGCUAAGAAGAUGACACUACACGUUGUUAUAGCCCGAAAGGCCCUCUUUCCACAGGGGAGCAGUGAAAAGUAGAGGUUGCCCAUGUGGAUUCCCAAGUCAGAUAGAUGUGGAUUCAGAUCCCAGCUCUGCUGCUUGCUACCCAAGAGACCAUGGACUGUGGACUCUUUAGGUCUCAGGGUUUUUGUUUGUUGUCUGUUUUUCACUUCCAAAACCAGAAAAUGAGAAGAUAUUUUCCAUAAGAUGGCGGUGGAGAAGAGAACUUGAUGGACCUUGCUUGGACAAAAUGCCUUCACCGCUAACUCAGUCAGCUAUGGCGAUGGGUCAAGGACCUGGUGGUUUUACAGAGAAGACCCUUGGUCAAAUCUUUGUGAAUGAAGCAACCAUUCUGAUGUUCAAUAACAGGAAUGCACCAGUUUAUACCAAACUAUCUGUACUAUUGAGAACAGCAAAAAUAUCUGACCAAAAACACCAAAGAGUGACAUUUUAAAAGACAUCAAAGAACUCUCAAGGCUUCCAGAGUUGGAAAGAUCAAGAAAGAGAGAAUGCAACUUCAUUAAGACACAAAAAGGAACAGGAUACAGAAGUGGAGGCAGUUCAGCGAAAAAGAUGAGAAGAAGGAGAAUGUCCACAAAUAAAUUUCACUUAUAAAAGUUCAGAUAAAAA